GACGAACGCUGGCGGCGUGCUUAACACAUGCAGGUCGAACGGUAAGGCCUUUCGGGGUACACGAGUGGCGAACGGGUGAGUAACACGUGGGUGAUCUGCCCUGCACUUCGGGAUAAGCCCGGGAAACUGGGUCUAAUACCGGAUAGGACUGCGCGGUGCAUGCCGUGUGGUGGAAAGAUUUAUCGGUGCAGGAUGGGCCCGCGGCCUAUCAGCUUGUUGGUGGGGUAAUGGCCUUCCAAGGCGACGACGGGUAGCCGGCCUGAGAGGGCGACCGGCCACACUGGGACUGAGACACGGCCCAGACUCCUACGGGAGGCAGCAGUGGGAAAUAUUGCACAAUGGGCGCAAGCCUGAUGCAGCGACGCCGCGUGAGGGAUGACGGCCUUCGGGUUGUAAACCUCUUUCAGCAGGGACGAAGCGUGAGUGACGGUACCUGCAGAAGAAGCACCGGCAAACUACGUG
Molecule: ribosomal RNA, 462 nt
Filed under: uncultured bacterium
Lineage: Bacteria
Description: partial 16S ribosomal RNA
Rfam family: Bacterial small subunit ribosomal RNA
Source: RNAcentral